Alosa alosa (allis shad) is the source of this 288-nucleotide long non-coding RNA. RefSeq lists it as uncharacterized. The transcript has 3 exons. Lineage: Eukaryota; Metazoa; Chordata; Actinopteri; Clupeiformes; Clupeidae. The record is from RefSeq and is a predicted model, not a curated record.
GAAAAAAAAACCAAGAGGCUUUUUAAAAAGUGCGACUCAAGAAGACAAGGAUCAAGAAAGUGCAGAUAGCGCCUGCAUUACAAAAGUUGGGGAGAUGACAGACAUUUGUGUGAAUCGAUUCACGUGACUCAAGCGGAAGCACCGUAACCCCAACAGGACAGCAAACCCUGGUCCUCGGGGUGCACUCUGUGUGUCUUUCAGCAGAUGCUGCGCUUCUCCGAGGCGGAUCUGUCCAUCCAUCAGUGGCGGGAGCCUCUCAGGGAGGGAGACAGGCUGGCUGAAGGCCUC